GCCCCGAGAGGGUGACCGCCCCCCCUGGGACUUAGGCACGGCCCAGAUUUCUUCGGGAGGCACCAGUGGGGAAUAUUGCCCAAUGGGCGAAAGCCUGAUGCAGCGACCCCGCGUGAGGGAUGACGGCCUUCGGGUUGUAAACCUCUUUCAGUAGGGAAGAAGCGAAAGUGACGGUACCUGCAGAAGAAGCGCCGGCUAACUACGUGCCAGCAGCCGCGGUAAUACGUAGGGCGCAAGCGUUAUCCGGAAUUAUUGGGCGUAAAGAGCUCGUAGGCGGUUUGUCGCGUCUGCUGUGAAAGGCCAGGGCUCAACCCUGGUUCUGCAGUGGGUACGGGCAGACUUGAGUGAUGUAGG
RNAcentral lists this ribosomal RNA (354 nucleotides) under bacterium LimB-10-A-328. Its description in RNAcentral is "bacterial SSU rRNA". It matches the Rfam family "Bacterial small subunit ribosomal RNA", at positions 289 to 655 of the family's 1533-position model. The record is from RNAcentral.